GCCCUUGUGGCACAGGGGUAGCGCACUCCCUUGGUAAGGGAGAGGUCAUGAGUUCAAAUCUCAUCAAGGGCA
This 72-nucleotide transfer RNA is filed under the name Heliobacteriaceae bacterium. Its description in RNAcentral is "tRNA-Thr". It matches the Rfam family "tRNA". Rfam says of the family: Transfer RNA (tRNA) molecules are approximately 80 nucleotides in length. Their secondary structure includes four short double-helical elements and three loops (D, anti-codon, and T loops). Further hydrogen bonds mediate the characteristic L-shaped molecular structure. tRNAs have two regions of fundamental functional importance: the anti-codon, which is responsible for specific mRNA codon recognition, and the 3' end, to which the tRNAs corresponding amino acid is attached (by aminoacyl-tRNA synthetases). tRNAs cope with the degeneracy of the genetic code in two manners: having more than one tRNA (with a specific anti-codon) for a particular amino acid; and 'wobble' base-pairing, i.e. permitting non-standard base-pairing at the 3rd anti-codon position. The record is from RNAcentral. Lineage: Bacteria; Bacillati; Bacillota; Clostridia; Eubacteriales; Heliobacteriaceae.